UGCCGAAGUGGCGGAACUGGCAGACGCACAGGACUUAAAAUCCUGCGAAACUUAUACUUUCGUACCGGUUCGAUUCCGGUCUUCGGCACCAU
Molecule: transfer RNA, 92 nt
Filed under: Peptostreptococcus stomatis DSM 17678
Lineage: Bacteria; Bacillati; Bacillota; Clostridia; Peptostreptococcales; Peptostreptococcaceae
Description: tRNA-Leu
Rfam family: tRNA
About the family: Transfer RNA (tRNA) molecules are approximately 80 nucleotides in length. Their secondary structure includes four short double-helical elements and three loops (D, anti-codon, and T loops). Further hydrogen bonds mediate the characteristic L-shaped molecular structure. tRNAs have two regions of fundamental functional importance: the anti-codon, which is responsible for specific mRNA codon recognition, and the 3' end, to which the tRNAs corresponding amino acid is attached (by aminoacyl-tRNA synthetases). tRNAs cope with the degeneracy of the genetic code in two manners: having more than one tRNA (with a specific anti-codon) for a particular amino acid; and 'wobble' base-pairing, i.e. permitting non-standard base-pairing at the 3rd anti-codon position.
Source: RNAcentral